AGGAAAUUCACAAGCAAUACAGGUACCCUCCAACAAAGCUAACAACUUUUUGGUCACAAGCAAUGAGGAAUCCAAAGGAUCCAGGAGUGGGAAAGAAGGCAUUAGACAGUGACAAAUGUGUCUCCUGAAGAAGGAGGACUCUGCAUUCAUGAACAAGAAAGACACAUGCCCCAGGACAGGGAAGAACUCAUCGCACAAGGACUCACAGGUGGCCAAUGGGUCUGGAAUGAAAGGAGCAGAAGGCAGUGAUGUGUGCAGAAGCUGAAUCAGUAGGAGGAAACAGGUACUGGCCGUAUAACUGCACCAAGGUAAUCAUCAUCUCUUUGCUCAUAUGACCAUUGUGAUUAUGACACAAGAUAAAGUGAAGGCAGUACACAAAAUUAUUAAGAACAUGAACAGAAAUGAGAAGAAAUACUCAGUUUCAGUUGGACAAAGCUAGAAGAAUGUUGCUGUCACCAUUACAAUAUAAACAAUUUCAGGAAAAACUUCAGUUACUUUUCUUGCACUCGUUAGGGAAUUCAGGUCACAGGACAAAAAUCUGAGAAUCUAGAGAGUCACCACAGAGAGAAACAAGGCCCACCAAGACACCCAACAGGACUCAAUAAUGCCAGUAGGAAGAUUCAGCGAGAAAAUUUUAAUGAAUUUCUAAAAUGUGAA
Molecule: long non-coding RNA, 657 nt
Organism: Leopardus geoffroyi (Geoffroy's cat)
Lineage: Eukaryota; Metazoa; Chordata; Mammalia; Carnivora; Felidae
Exons: 5
Source: RefSeq, a predicted model, not a curated record